RNAcentral lists this ribosomal RNA (253 nucleotides) under uncultured bacterium. RNAcentral describes it as "partial 16S ribosomal RNA". It matches the Rfam family "Bacterial small subunit ribosomal RNA", at positions 524 to 776 of the family's 1533-position model. The record is from RNAcentral.
UACGAAGGGGGCUAGCGUUUUUCGGAAUCACUGGGCGUAAAGCGCACGUAGGCGGAUGUGUCAGUCAGGGGUGAAAUCCCGGGGCUCAACCUCGGAACUGCCUCUGAUACAGCACGUCUUGAGUCCGGAAGAGGUGGGUGGAAUUCCUAGUGUAGAGGUGAAAUUCGUAGAUAUUAGGAAGAACACCGGUGGCGAAGGCGACCCACUGGUCCGGUACUGACGCUGAGGUGCGAAAGCGUGGGGAGCAAACAGG